AUGCCAACUACAGAUACCAGUGUGCCAACUGAUGUGCCAGUUAGCAGUGUGGUCACAGUCAAAACCACCACUGCUGCUCAGGGAGGCACCACUUCAACUGCAAGCCCCAAGGUGUCUACUCAUAGAGAUGCUUCAAUGCCAAACACGAAAGGAGGUGAUCAAACUACCAAAGUGCCGUCCCCAAGAGCUAGCACACAGCAGCCAAGCAAGCCUGCAUCACCAAGAGCUGACUUUCAGCACUCAUUAACACAAGAGGAUGUCUUCAACAUUAUAAGUAGGUGCAAGCCUUCAAGGCUGCCAACUACAACACUACUGCGAACCAAGUCAGUGAAUGAUGCACCCGUGUAUGUGCCGCAAGGAGAUGCCCUGGGCCUUGAACCCAUACGGAGAUCAAACUCUUACACCUUUCAUGGCGACGGGUUCUGCGAUGCACCAUCUUUUGACCUUGGUAAAGAUGGUGAUGCUCCAACACCUGCUCCAGCAGCAGAAACAGCAGAAACAACACCUGCUCCAGCAGCAGAAACAGCGGAAGCCGGUGCUGUUGCCAUAGAUGAGGGUGAGUUGGACCCAGCAGCUAAAAAUGAAGGAUGCGCUGCUGGUGAUGCUGGCAAGGCAAUAGCUCAAGAGCCAGCUGUUGGAUCACCAGACAAUUGCCACACCCCGAUAUGCGCAGAACCAGAAGUUGGCACGAGCAGUUCUUCAGGACCACCUGUUGCACGAAGACAGAGGAGGGUAAUAAGGCCUGUGGUAUCUCAAAGGUCUCCAUUCAUUGACUACAACAAGAAGAAGACGUUCACCUCCAAUGAGGCAGUCAACAAGCUUUACGCUGCCCUCUUGUAUUGGGUCAGGCAUCACCCAGGUGCAAAUGAUGAGCUUACCAGCCCUGAGAUAAUCAGGUAUGGUACUUUCUACAUUUCUUUAAAGGAGUUAGUUGAUUCCAUGAAGCCGGUUCAAUGGCUGUCAAGAACUGUUAUUGAGACUGGAAUCUUACACAUCAUGGGUAACUUACCAGAAGGGUCAAAGAAGGUUGUUAUGCCACUGAGGUUUUCUACCAAUUUACAGCAAGGGAUCCACAAUGUGAAUGAGAUAAACAAGAAGUUUGAAUACAAGAACCGUCUGGACAAGCAAGACUUGGUCAUGCUGCCAGUGCUCGAGUGCGCUGAUAUAAAUGAUAAGGAGGGAGGGAGGCAUUAUUGGGUUUUCAAUGUCAACUUGAGGGACGGACGCUUCGAAGUUCUUGAUUCAAGCAGGAAGCUGGACAACAUUGAGCUCAUGAACACCGCCUCUAUCAUCGCGGGUAUAGUGCGCCACCUAUGGAGGAAGCAUUACCCAAAGUUCAGCAUCGAGCACUUCCAGAUUAUUGACAUUGAUGUACCGAAGCAGCUCGGCAAUAAUGAGUGUGGGCUGUUCGCACUGCUUAACGCCACUGAGUGGAACAGUAGCCAACUGCCCAACUAUGAACCCAAGGAAGUACUCAACAUCAGGAAGAAGCUGGCAUAUGAUUGGGUCACCAGCCUGCACAACUCCGCCCCAUGGAGGAAGUUGCUCAGAUACGACAAGGACUAG
Molecule: ribosomal RNA, 1566 nt
Filed under: Triticum aestivum (bread wheat)
Lineage: Eukaryota; Viridiplantae; Streptophyta; Magnoliopsida; Poales; Poaceae
Description: partial small subunit ribosomal RNA
Source: RNAcentral